CGUGUAGGCGGUCGGUCAAGUCUGAUGUGAAAGCCCGGGGCUCAGCUCCGGAAGUGCAUUGGAAACUAGCCGACUGGAGCGCGAUAGAGGAGGGUGGAAUUCCUGGUGUAGCGGUGAAAUGCGUAGAUAUCAGGAGGAACACCGGCGGCGAAGGCGGCCCUCUGGAUCGUUGCUGACGCUGAGACGCGACAGCGUGGGGAGCAAACAGGAUUAGAUACCCUGGUAGUCCACGCCGUAAACUAUGGGUACUAGGUGUUCGGGGUGUUGACCCCCUGAGUGCCGCAGCUAACGCAUUAAGUACCCCGCCUGGGGACUACGGCCGCAAGGUUAA
RNAcentral lists this ribosomal RNA (331 nucleotides) under uncultured bacterium. RNAcentral describes it as "bacterial SSU rRNA". It matches the Rfam family "Bacterial small subunit ribosomal RNA", at positions 568 to 897 of the family's 1533-position model. The record is from RNAcentral.